Long non-coding RNA from Acinonyx jubatus (cheetah), 2396 nucleotides. RefSeq lists it as uncharacterized. NCBI's taxonomy places the organism in Eukaryota, Metazoa, Chordata, Mammalia, Carnivora, Felidae. The record is from RefSeq and is a predicted model, not a curated record. The transcript is spliced from 2 exons.
AGGCGGCGGCGACUACGGCGGCGGCGUCGGGGGGCUCGGGGCGGGGGGAGGGGGAGGGAGCGGGCGCGCGGGCGGGCGCGAGUCCGAGGCUCCGAGCCGGGAUUCCAGGCCGGUCAGCUGGAGGCGGGCCGCACCACUCGGCCUGCAGAGAUGGGGGGGCCGGGGGAGGCGCGGAGAGGGAGGGUAGCUGAGGAGGAGGGGCGUGCGGGUGAACCGAGGACCGCGGGGGAGGAGGGAAGACCCGGCGCCCUCGGCAGCUCCCACCGCCGCUCGCAGCCAGAGCGCUGUCCCGCGCGGCGGCGCUGGGAAGGACCUGAGGCCCCCGCCGGCUCUGGCGUAGCAGCGGCGGCUGUGAAGCCCCGGGCCUCGCUCGCUCCGUCACGCUCCCCUCCCCCGAAGGCUGCGCUGACCGGACAAUGGCCGCUCCGCCCCCUCCCCUCCUCACACACCCCUCCUAAGGAGUCACAAUGGUCUCGCCCGGGGGAGCCGCCGCCAAAGCCCAGCAGCUGAUCAGCUGGGAUCCGGGCGUGCCACUUUGUUCAGCCCCCUCAAAGGAAGAGUACGGGGCUGUGGGCAAAGCCGAGAGCGUCGGGCUAUCACCCGGCGACGGGCCUCUGAGGUUUUCAUAUUCUUGGAACUUUUAAAAUCUGAGGCAAACUUACCUUCUCCCUGUCUGAAGAAGGGGAGCAGGUUUCUGAGUACCCUGGGGCACGUUGCCUCCCCCCAAACGCGAAUGAGUGGACAUGUUUGGUUUGGGGAGGGGACCUAUGGCCGAAUCAGUGAUGAAAAUUAACGUAAGCAAAGAAGUUCGAGCCACCAAAAAAUAAGCCUUUAGCGCUUCUUGUCUUUCAUCUUGAACUCAUUCUGAGUUCCAGCCAAUCGUGAGCAGAAGGCGAUUGUAGAUGGCAAAUGUCAACGCGGAGGAAACUUCCACCAUAUCUACUGGAGAGGUGACUCCCACAGCUGAGACCCUUGUUGGCGAACUUCGAAGGUCACUGCUACUUCCGGAAGGCUUCCUGGCUCUUAGAAAAGGCAGCUGUGUACCCCUGAUUCGGCAAGAAUACGAGACCCUCAGAGGAUAUUACCUAGAUUAAUUUUAUUGUCAAAUGUUAUUAUUUCUAUAUCUACCAUUAUGUCUGUGCAUGCUCUGUGGACUUGUUGACAUUUAUGUCGCUUCUUUUGGCCUCUAAAGAGCAAGGAUCACAUUUAGCUUAGCAUCUUCUAAAAGAUGCUGUGGAUGAUAAAGACAAAUGAUUGCAAAAAUCAAGUUCUUUACAGCCAAUGCACUUCCAAAAGUGAGUGCUGAUUUUCGUAAUAUUUAGUUUCGACUUUGUGCAUUUUCACAAGCCUUCAAUGAGUAGUUAUGUCAAAAGUCCAUUGAGUGGAUGAAGCCAUACAGCCAUACAGCUAGGUGCUUUCAUUGGACUCACAUUCCCCUUAAAUCUUCACUUAAACUAACAUGAAAUUGCCACAUUCUUAAAAGACUUAUAGCUUUUGAGUUUAACAGACCAAGAUUAAGUGGGACUCUCUCUCUAUUGGCAUUUUGAUGGUCUUUUAUAUAUGGAAAAAGUAAACCUAAAACCAAAAGGAAAAUUUAAUAUAAACUGUGAUUGUCAUCUUACAAACUGCUUGCCUACCUGUCUGCUUGCCAGUUAUUCUUUUUAACAAGCAUUGACUGACUACCAAGAUGUGCACAAAAUUUUCUAAGGCCUUAUCCCUCCUGUUACCCUCUGCACCACUGCUCUUCCUCUCUCUUGCCCAGGACACUACUCCUGCCCAUUCAGGCAUAUGUUAUCUCUUCAAUGCCUUGCCUUUGCUAACAAGGCAGAAUUAGUCCCUCCUUCCUCUGCCCACAUAAUCUCCAUUAUAGGACCAAGAAAUAUACAUGUUUGUCUCCUACCACAAAACCUAACUCCAAAAGGUUUGGCUGAUAGAAAUAGCUGCUAAGUACUCUCAACGCAGUGGGGAUACAAGAUGCUCAGAAGGUAUCACCUAGAUUAAUUUUAUUAGCAAAUAUUAUUUUAUUUCUAUAAAUGCCAUUCUGUUUGUACAUUAUCUGUAUACUUGUAGGAUCCACAAAUCACCAUGGGAUUGAAGCCAACUCAAUCCAUGUUUACUGAAUGGAAGAGCUUAUUUGAUAAGAAGCCACUCUUAGUCAAGCCUCUUGUAUCUGCAAGGAACAGAAACCCACUGAAACUUUAUGCAAAAAUUAAUUAAUUGAUUAAUAGGGGCACCUGGGUGGCUCAGUGGUUGAGCUUCCAAAUCUUGAUUUUAGCUCAGGUCAUGAUCUCAUGGUUUGUGGGUUCAAACCCACUCUGGAUCCUCUCUCUCUGUCCCUCCCUUGCUCAUGCUCUCUUUCUCUCUCUCAAAAUAAAAUAAACUUUUUAAAAAAUUAA